Molecule: long non-coding RNA, 1705 nt
Organism: Meriones unguiculatus (Mongolian gerbil)
Lineage: Eukaryota; Metazoa; Chordata; Mammalia; Rodentia; Muridae
Exons: 2
Source: RefSeq, a predicted model, not a curated record
CUGUGGAGCCAGGGAAAGUCAGGGAGAGAGCAGUGCCUCUCUCCCCAUAAGACUUCAGCCUCCUUUUAAGGGCAAAUCGGCUGCAGUGUGCACUCGGAACUGCCCACUUCCUGCCUUCGCCUUCAUUCUCCACAUAUUGAAAUAACUUAAGAAAAAAAAGACAAAAAAGCAAUGCUGAACUCCCCGGCUUCUCAGCACGUAUAAAAGGAAACACUAUUUUUAUUUUUUAAAUUUUUUUAAAGAGAAGUAUUUUAUUUCGGCUUGCCUUCUUCACAGCCAAAGGCCUGUAGUUCAGGCAAUUCUGACUUUAGGCCUUAAGCGAAGAUCAGCAGAAAACUUUAUUCGCGUUGGUUCACCAUUUAGCUAUGGAUUAUAAAAUGGAAGGUUGCAUCCAAACCUUGACAGUCUCUGCCAUGAGGUCUUGUGUGAUUCAUUGGCGCAGUGUUGUGUUCCGUGCUGUGUUUGAGCCAAGGGCACAUCACUGCCAAGUUAGGGGCUAGCCCCAUCCUGAGAGAAUGCUGAGGAAGACAGAAGCCAUCACAGAGGAGAAAUGUUAUGAAACCAGUUACCUGUGGAAACUGAAUGUGUGAGGUGAGCUUUCCUCUGAAACCGGAGCUUGAGCCCUCAGCCAGACUCAACACUUUUCCCUUAAAGCAGCUGCAAAUGCCUCCCUUUCAUCGCUGCCGGAGCAUCAAAUUCCUGACAAAUUAAGAAAAAAGAAUUACGGUCAUGGCUCUUUAUUAUCUAGCCAAAUCGGUUUUCAUUUUCGGUUGGCGAAGGUAGUGAUCCCGAGAACUUUAAGAACUUGCUGAGCUUGAACUGGAUCCAGAAGGAGGAGGUUCAUUUUCAUCGUGAAGUUUUUAGCACCCAGGGAAUCGGGCAGACAAGCUGGCAUUUGUCUGGGCGCUCAUGCAGUCUUUGGUGUUUCGGGGAAACUUCCGCUGGAGACAGACCCCAGGCUGACCCCGAGAUGAGUACAGCUCACACAGACAGACCUGGUGUCCACGGGUGUGAAGCCUGCUGAGGCUCUCCCUGCCAACCACGAGCCGCUGGCCCUCUCUACAGCAGGACUCCGGUGCAGAACCCCUCACCCCUCCUAAGCUACCACGUUCGGCUUGGGCCUGUUUCAAAGGCCGUUUGCAGACGAAAGCAUCUUACCCAGAAGGCAAUUUCUAUGCUGCUUGCUUCCUUAGUUCCCAGGCUUGCAUGGUAUAACUACAAAAAAAAAAAAAAAAAAAAAAAAAUUGAUCUCCCCUGAGCUGAGAUGUGUAAAACCAAAGGCGUCGAGGAUGCUACGAACACGAACGCCUCUUUGCCGAGAUUGGUGUCAGGGCCGGGCCUCUACUAGUCGCUCAGUGCCACAUCAGCAUUCUGUGUUUUCUCUCCGGGUGCUCUGCACGCCAGAUGCCGCUGGCAAGCCCGCCGGUAGACACCUCAUCGGCGGGGGCUGCUCUGGGACCACUCGGGAUGGAGGGCGCCCAUAACUGCUGGCGGGAACCCGACAGGUUUGGCCGCAGCUGCAGAAACGCGAACCAAGACUUCAUUUUGAAGUGUAUCUGAUGGUCCCUUGUCAGCGCUGUCACCGGAGGGUCCAUUUCGAGCUCAUUCUUUGAAAGGCUCAGCCGCUUCACAGCUUCAACCUUUGUACUGUUCUGCCUGAGACUGCAGGAAAAAAAAAAAAAAACACCAAAAACAAACAAACAAA